Molecule: ribosomal RNA, 490 nt
Filed under: uncultured bacterium
Lineage: Bacteria
Description: partial 16S ribosomal RNA
Rfam family: Bacterial small subunit ribosomal RNA
Source: RNAcentral
GAUGAACGCUAGCUACAGGCUUAACACAUGCAAGUCGAGGGGCAGCAUGGGGGUUGCUUGCAAUCCCCGAUGGCGACCGGCGCACGGGUGAGUAACGCGUAUUCAACUUGCCCUUCACCACGGGUUAACCCGGCGAAAGUAGGCCUAAAACCGAAUGUUGUCCAUUGAGGGCAUACGAGUUGGUCGGACGGCUUGGGGGUGAGGGAGGGGGAUGCGUCCGAUUAGGUGGACGGUGGGGUAACGGCCCACCGUGGCUACGAUCGGUAGGGGUUCUGAGAGGAAGGUCCACCAGACUGGAACUGAGACACGGUCCAGACUGCUACGGGAGGCAGCAGUAAGGAAUAUUGGUGAAGGGACGUAAGCCUGAACCAACCAAGUAGGGUGCAGGAGCACUGCGGUAUGGGUGGUAAUCUGCUGUUAUGCAAGGGUAGAGUGGUCCUCGUGUGGGCUUUUGCAGGUACCGCAUGAAUAAGCACCGGCUAAUUCCGUG